AUCGCUAGGACCGAAAAUUUAUUGUAUUUAGCUUUAUUCAAUUGGACCGAUUUGCAGCGUGUGGACAAGCCAAGCAGCUUUUUAGUGCCAGCCGAUUCUACAGAGCAACCAUAUAAGUCGCCAUGUCCACUCAGCCAGCGGAGAACGAGGAGAGCGCGGCGGCCAAGUCCAAGCGACCUUCAGAUUCGGCCUUCAAGCAGCAGCGAUUGCCUGCCUGGCAGCCAGUCCUCACCGCUCGUACCGUCCUGCCCACAUUCUUCGUGAUUGGGGUGCUCUUCAUACCCAUCGGCGUCGUCCUGCUCCACUUGAGCAACACGUCCAAUGAGCUGAUCAUCGACUACACCAAGUGCAAGCCGUCGACCGGGAAUGCCACCUGCGCGGAGUACCUAGAAGCCAAUGCCGGUGGCCAGUGCAACUGCCGGGUGCCCUUCGUCCUUCCUACGGAUUUCAAUGGUGUGGUCUACAUGUACUACGGCCUGACGAACUACUACCAGAACCAUCGGCGCUAUGUGAAGUCACGGGACGACGAGCAGCUGCUGGGUCACCUGUCGCAAACGCCGAGUACGGACUGCGCCCCCUUUGCCUACGAUCCGGACAGCGGAAAGCCGAUCGCGCCCUGCGGUGCCAUUGCCAACUCUCUGUUCAAUGACACGCUGACCCUGUUGCAGGGCGAAUCCGAGAUCAAGCUGCUGAAGACGGGCAUUGCUUGGCCCUCGGAUAAGCGCGUCAAGUUCCGCAAUCCGGAGGGCAACCUCAACGUUUCCCUCGAGGCCUUCUCGAAGCCAUUGUUCUGGCAGAAGAGCCUGGCCGAGCUGGACCCGGAGAAUCCGGAAAACAACGGCUUCCAGAACGAGGAUUUAAUCGUGUGGAUGCGCACCGCCGCCCUGCCCAGCUUUCGAAAGCUAUAUCGCCGGCUCGACCAGACGAACACCAACUAUGCUAAUGGUCUUAAGGCCGGCAACUAUACGCUGGACAUUAAGUAUCAAUAUCCGGUUGUCUCGUUCGACGGCACCAAGCGAAUGAUUUUGUCCACCACCUCGGUGCUGGGGGGCAAGAAUCCUUUCCUGGGCAUUGCGUACAUCGUAGUCGGCGCAAUUUGCAUCACACUAGGCCUUGCCCUGCUUUUCAUCCAUAUGCGCUGCAGUCGCAGCAUUGUUGUGCAUUAGGUCCGCAUAGGGACGAGAAUAUCAUAACCCAUUGAAGCCGCAUUAUUUAUCAUGGCCAAAUUUGCUUUGCUCGCAGCAACAUGGAGAUGAUCAAUGUGAACCCGCACACGCAGUACUCCUAGGCCGAGCACCGACAGUAUUCCGGGCUGCUUCACAUAGCUUUAGUAGAUCCAUCUGUUUAAGCCUUAUCAGCAUAAAGUAGUUUCUAUUGACCAAAACUGGCACUGUGUUCUCGACUGCUCUGCUCUGUUCUACAUAUACAUACAUAUGUUUUCUGACUGUGUGCACUUGGCCAUCCGAUGAGCUGGCCGUGCCUUUUGUUAAUUUUUUGUAUCUGUCUCCAUAUGUGCACCGAAAAUAUUUGUGAUUCUUGUUGUGUAACUUAUUCUGCACAUCACAUACUAAGUGGCACCCUUUAAAAAAGUGCGCACCUAUUUCCACGCCACUGCAUUACAAACAGCAAAGAAAUACUUUGUGCCUGACCUAAUCUGUAUUGCCUUUUACUACGUUUAUAAGCGAAAAUAAACAUUGUUAACGGCA
Molecule: RNA transcript, 1706 nt
Organism: Drosophila ficusphila
Lineage: Eukaryota; Metazoa; Arthropoda; Insecta; Diptera; Drosophilidae
Gene: CDC50
Gene name: cell cycle control protein 50A
Exons: 7
Source: RefSeq, a predicted model, not a curated record